AUUGAACGCUGGCGGAAUGCUUUACACAUGCAAGUCGAACGGUAGAGGGGGCAACCCCUUGAGAGUGGCGAACGGGUGAGUAAUAUAUCGGAACGUGCCCAGUCGUGGGGGAGUAACGUAGCGAAAGUUACGCUAAUACCGCAUACGAUCUAAGGAUGAAAGCGGGGGACGUCGCAAGACCUCGCGCGAUUGGAGCGGCCGAUAUCAGAUUAGGUAGUUGGUGGGGUAAAGGCUCACCAAGCCAACGAUCUGUAGCUGGUCUGAGAGGACGACCAGCCACACUGGAACUGAGACACGGUCCAGACUCCUACGGGGAGGCAGCAGGUGGGGGAAUUUUGGACAAUGGAGCAAGUCUGAUCCAGCCAUUCCGCGUGCAGGAUGAAGGCCC
Molecule: ribosomal RNA, 388 nt
Filed under: uncultured bacterium
Lineage: Bacteria
Description: bacterial SSU rRNA
Rfam family: Bacterial small subunit ribosomal RNA
Source: RNAcentral